UCAAUAAGCGGAGGAAAAGAAACCAACAGGGAUGCCUCAGUAACGGCGAGUGAAGCGGCAACAGCUCAAAUUUGAAAUCUGGCCCCCUCGGGGCCCGAGUUGUAAUUUGUAGAGGAUGCUUCGGGUGCGACCGUGGCCUAAGUUCCUUGGAACAGGACGUCAUAGAGGGUGAGAAUCCCGUACGUGGCCCCCGGUCAAGCCCGUGUGAAGCUCCUUCGACGAGUCGAGUUGUUUGGGAAUGCAGCUCAAAAUGGGUGGUAAAUUUCAUCUAAAGCUAAAUACUGGCCAGAGACCGAUAGCGCACAAGUAGAGUGAUCGAAAGAUGAAAAGCACUUUGAAAAGAGAGUUAAACAGCAUGUGAAAUUGUUGAAAGGGAAGCGCUUGCCACCAGACUUGCUCGGGGUCGAUCAGCCGGUGUUCUCACCGGUGCACUCGUCCCCGGACAGGCCAGCAUCGGUUCGGGCGGCCAGAUAAAGGCCCCGGGAACGUAGCUCCCCCUCGGGGGUGCCUUAUAGCCCGGGGUGCCAUGUGGCCCGCCCGGACCGAGGAACGCGCUUCGGCUCGGAUGCUGGCGUAAUGGUUGCAAGCGACCCGUCUUGAAACACGGACCAAGGAGUCUAACAUCUAUGCGAGUGUUUGGGUGUCAAACCCUUGCGCGGAAUGAAAGUGAACGGAGGUGGGAACCCUCACGGGUGCACCAUCGACCGAUCCUGAUGUCUUCGGAUGGAUUUGAGUAAGAGCAUAGCUGUUGGGACCCGAAAGAUGGUGAACUAUGCCUGAAUAGGGUGAAGCCAGAGGAAACUCUGGUGGAGGCUCGCAGCGGUUCUGACGUGCAAAUCGAUCGUCAAAUUUGGGUAUAGGGGCGAAAGACUAAUCGAACCAUUUGGUA
This 889-nucleotide ribosomal RNA is filed under the name Eurotiomycetes sp. Its description in RNAcentral is "partial large subunit ribosomal RNA". It matches the Rfam family "Eukaryotic large subunit ribosomal RNA", at positions 43 to 949 of the family's 3401-position model. The record is from RNAcentral. Lineage: Eukaryota; Fungi; Ascomycota; Eurotiomycetes.